Molecule: long non-coding RNA, 831 nt
Organism: Gossypium arboreum
Lineage: Eukaryota; Viridiplantae; Streptophyta; Magnoliopsida; Malvales; Malvaceae
Exons: 2
Source: RefSeq, a predicted model, not a curated record
GUAGUUGCUUUUUUUUUUUUUUUUUCUUUUAAGCGUGUUUUUAUUAAGAAUUUUUGUAGUUUCUUAAUAUUGUAAUAUUAUUUAGGGGUGUUAGCUUUACAAUAAAAAUUUUUGCUUUAGCAAAAAAAAACAUGGAAGGCUGAUAUAGGCUCAAGGCAAAAGCUUCAAUGGAACUUGGUUGAAUAAAAACAUGGAAGAUGUGUUUCCCUCAAGGGAGAAAGUAUUCGCUUAUGAAGGAAGUGCAUUUCUUAAUUCCUUUGCAGGAAUUACGUUCUAUGAAUAAAAAAGAACCAGCUUGAAAGCUAGGAAUUUGUGUAGGUUUGAUCCUGGACCAGUUCAAAACACUGGAGAGGAAGAAAAAUCAUGCAAAAAAAAGAAAAAAGAAAAAAGGUAAUGGUCCAGACAAAGUCUACCACGAGACUCAGAGUCGUUAACUCAAGUUCCUUGGCUCAACUCUCAACUUGGAACGAGCAAGCCAGAUAAAAACCACUCCAGAUCCGACUCGCAUAGCCACCUCAAAGGCCCCUACGCGGGUUACAAGCUCAUGUCACCAAGGUUGGCGGCCAGCUAGGAGAGCAAGAGCUAUACAUAUAAUUAGUCCCUUUUGAUUUGGGUCGAUGUGGUAUUCUCUUUCGUUCGAGAAUGCUUUUACUUGUUGAGGUGAUGAGCUUGGGAACUUCAUGGAAAAGUUUAAAAUGAAUAUUUGGAUAAAAAUUAGACAAUAGGUUUAUAUAAUUUGUGAAUAAAUUCAUCCUCAUAAUUCUAAUUUGAUUUUGUAUUGAAGUUGAUUUCAAUAUAUAACAUUGAAGUGUACAUAAUAUUGUAAUUGAA